AAAAAGCCCUGGUUUAUAACAUUUGCCAAUUUCCUUGGUGUAACUACUUCCACCUUGGCUGAUUUCAAGAUACCAACUCGCUGGUAAAAUUCCUGAGUGUUGAACCAUCCUCUCAGGAGUUGGAGGAGCCAGCCCCAGCGCACCACUGGCUGAAAGUAAUCAUUCAAAUUGACUGGAGCAGUUCAGCCAGGAGUGUGUUCUGCCAGACUCAGUCUUGUUGCAGAGACAAGAUGUUCCCCCCUGAAUGAGAUAAUGCCCUGAGAUCUUGGACGAUGAAGUGCCAAAUCAGUGCACACAUUUCACUGGUCUGGGAAGCAGAUUAUUGGAGCCAUUUCUGUUCCUCCUGCUUCUGCUUUGUUCUCUAACCUGCAGGGUUAGGCUUGGCGAGGAGAUUAACUUGGAGAUAUAUUGCUGGAUGAUAAGAGAGAAGAUUCUGGACCAUCAAGAGAUGACAGCUGAAUGGGGGACAGCUAUAUCAGGAAUAAAGCAUCUUAAACAUCAUGAAAAGCCAGGCACCUGCAGGCCAAGGACAACCAGUCGUAUUAGGAACAAUAGAACUGAGGCCUCUGAGAGACACUGUGGGUGGAGCCACUAUGGUAACGUGCUUGGCAACGUAGAUGUCCAUGGGGAGAACCUCUGCCUAGUGGUCCAGGGGGCACUGGAGAACCCCUGCCCCUCUUUUCCCCCUUGGUUGGUGCUGAGACACCAUUCAGAGAGCUGCUCCAAGGUCUCCUGGGAUCCUACAGCAGUAUCCUGUAGCAUGGCCAACUCAGUAACACAGGCAACAGCCUCUGCGAGCCAACCAGAUUUUCUCCAAGAUGGAGACUCAGCCCAGCCAACAUUCUACCACAGAAGCGACUGACCUGGCCUGGGGGUCCACCAGCCCAACCACUGGGUGUAAAAUUCUUACUAGCCAUGAGUCCUGACACUUUCAGAGUUGGAGUUCUGGAAAUGAGAAGAGGCAAGGGGAGCAGGAAAGCUCUUGCCUGAUUGGCCUGGGCAUGGUGAUGUGGCGUCUGCUCUCUCUGGACUUGGCAGACGUUGAAAGCUGACUCUCACAGGCUCUUUUUGAUGAUCUUAACUCACAAUCACUGAGGAUCUCUUCCCUGAAGUUUGCUUCACAGGACAAAUGCUCUCUAUUCCAGCCACUCACUUACUCACUCAUUCCUUCCUCGGCCUCUAUGAAUGUGCUGAUACCUCAAGCUUCUCCCUGAGAAGACCUGUUUAUUCCUCCAUGCAGCCCUCUUGGACAGAUCCAAGACAAUCCCUCACUGCCAUAGCGGGUAGGGGGAAACUUCUCCUGUGCCCUCUUAUAUUCAGUGACCGAGGCCAGCAAAUUAAACUGACAAAGAAAAGAUUAACAGGAGAGUAGGUUUAUUUCAUAUGCAUACGCGGGACCUCACAGAAAAGAAGUGAAAAUCCCCCAAAGCAAUAAUGCCUGGGGGUUUAUGUACCAUUUUAACAAAGGACAACACAGUGUAGAGAAGAGUUAAAGGGGUUUGAGCUUCUGGGGUGGUGAAUUGGAGGAAGGUAAAUAUACAGGGGAACCUAAUGGAAGAUGAGGGUUAUUUUAGUAAGGCUUGUUAUGCAGAUUCAAGUCAGUGCCUCAGUGAUUAAGCAGGAGAGGGGAGGGGGCAUACCUUCACACAGGGAAAUGUACCCCUGCUUUCAGGCAGAAAGAGGGGGGCAGAGAGCUCCUUUUGUGUCUGCUGUUUCUUAAUUGCCUUCAGCUCAAAAUAGUCCUAACAUCAAAGUGGUGUAUUUUGGGGUGGCAUAUUCUGAUCCCCUUCACUGCCAACCCUAUCAUGGGUGAGACCCAUAUCUGGGCACGCACUCACGAAUCCUCUUGUGACAAAUUUGGGGCGCACAAGCUGUCAUGGCUACCUCCCCGAGACCUUCCCUUUCCUCCACAGUCAAAGCCAUAGCUAGCCCAUCACUUGUCCUUUAAGUUUGGCGGGAACUGGACACCUGUGCAGUGUGUCCCCUGAGCUACUAGGGACACAAAUGAAGCUCUUUCAGUGGGCAAGUUGAACCCCCUUUUCCUAAGCAUGCGACAAGGGCCCUGUACUCCCUUCGCUCUCCACGGGUGGGAGAGGGACUCACCGCGCACCAAAAACUUUGUUCCUGGCCGUUUUAUCACCAUGAAUGAGGGGUGCAGCCAUCACAAAGCUGGUUUCUCUGCUCCCUUUCCUCCAAAGCCUGCACGGGGGUCUGGGACCUCUUUUUGGAACGUGAUCUCCAUUGUCUUCAGGCCUUAGCAGAAACGCCUAUUCUAACAUCUCGUUACAUGUGUACAUUGAGAAAACUGAAUAAAGUAGCCAGGUUGCCCUAUUAUUCUAAAAGUAUCAAUAUUCUUAAAGCUACCAAACCUGAGUAAAAUGGCCAGAAUGGGUCUGUUUGGGUCUAUUAGGGACUAUUCAUGGCGGGGAGAGAUGCUGCAGACCUUACCCCAGGGCCUCGGAAUCAUCUUGCAAGUGAAAUCACUCAGCUGUUUCUAAUCCUGUGUAGAAGGAUCACAAACUCUGGGAGUGUUGGGGCCGGCCCAGUGGCAUAGUGCUUAAGUUUGCGCACUCCACUUCAGCAGCCCAGCGUUUGCAGGUUUGGAUCCUGGGUAUGGACCUACACACUGUUCAUCAGGGCGCACUGUGGCAGCAUCCCACAUAAAAUACAGGAAGAUUGCCACAGACUUUAGCUCA
Equus caballus (horse) is the source of this 2696-nucleotide long non-coding RNA. The record is from Ensembl. Lineage: Eukaryota; Metazoa; Chordata; Mammalia; Perissodactyla; Equidae.